This 254-nucleotide ribosomal RNA is filed under the name uncultured bacterium. Its description in RNAcentral is "partial 16S ribosomal RNA". It matches the Rfam family "Bacterial small subunit ribosomal RNA", at positions 524 to 776 of the family's 1533-position model. The record is from RNAcentral.
UACGUAGGGUGCGAGCGUUGUCCGGAAUUAUUGGGCGUAAAGAGCUCGUAGGCGGCUUGUUGCGUCGGAUGUGAAAGCUCGGGGCUUAACCCCGGGUCGGCAUUCGAUACGGGCAGGCUAGAGUGUGGCAGGGGAGACUGGAAUUCCUGGUGUAGCGGUGAAAUGCGCAGAUAUCAGGAGGAACACCGGUGGCGAAGGCGGGUCUCUGGGCCAAAUACUGACGCUGAGGAGCGAAAGCGUGGGGAGCGAACAGG